CCUACGGGAGGCAGCAGUAGGGAAUAUUGCUCAAUGGGGGAAACCCUGAAGCAGCAACGCCGCGUGGAGGAUGAAGGUUUUAGGAUUGUAAACUCCUUUUGUUAGAGAAGAUUCAGACGGUAUGUAACGAAUAAGAACCGUCUAACUCCGUGCCAGCAGCCGCGGUAAUACGGAGGGUGCAAGCGUUACUCGGAAUCACUGGGCGUAAAGAGUACGUAGGCGGGUUAAUAAGGCAGAUGGGAAAUCCUGUAGCUUAACUACAGAACUGCAGUUGAAACUGUUACUCUGGAGUGUGGGAGAGGUAGGUGGAAUUCUUGGUGUAGGGGUAAAAUGCGUAGAGAUCAAGAGGAAUACUGAUUGCGAAGGCGGCCUGCUGGAACAUUACUGACGCUGAUGCACGAAAGCGUGGGGAGCAAACAGGAUUAGAUACCCGUGUAGUC
RNAcentral lists this ribosomal RNA (440 nucleotides) under uncultured bacterium. RNAcentral's name for it is "partial 16S ribosomal RNA". It matches the Rfam family "Bacterial small subunit ribosomal RNA", at positions 338 to 795 of the family's 1533-position model. The record is from RNAcentral.